RNAcentral lists this long non-coding RNA (288 nucleotides) under Panax ginseng (ginseng). Its description in RNAcentral is "long non-coding RNA (PGIN_LNC001731)". The record is from RNAcentral. Lineage: Eukaryota; Viridiplantae; Streptophyta; Magnoliopsida; Apiales; Araliaceae.
CGAUUAAUCUCAGAGAUAACCCCGAGAUAUCCAGUCUCAGUCUCAACCAUGGGAAUAGGCACCAGCCUUGGUGAUAACCCUAAGGAAUGCAGUUUCGGCGAUAACCCCGAAAAUGCUUGUUUUAAAUGCGACCAGCUUCAAUCUCGGUGCUCACAAUGAGAUACACUGCACCAACCCAACAAUAACAUCGGGAAGACAGGCACACCUCAAAAUUGACAAUGAGGAUCUUCAACAAAUUGCAGCAGUCCAAUCUUAGUGAAGCCUGAGCAACGUCUGCUUUAUCAGCCC